UCAGGCCUAACACAUGCAAGUCGAGCGAGGACUUCGGUCCUAGCGGCGGACGGGUGAGUAACGCGUGGGAACGUGCCCUUUGCUUCGGAAUAGCCCUGGGAAACUGGGAGUAAUACCGGAUGAGCCCUACGGGGGAAAGAUUUAUCGGCGAAGGAUCGGCCCGCGUUGGAUUAGGUAGUUGGUGGGGUAAUGGCCUACCAAGCCGACGAUCCAUAGCUGGUUUGAGAGGAUGAUCAGCCACACUGGGACUGAGACACGGCCCAGACUCCUACGGGAGGCAGCAGUGGGGAAUCUUAGACAGUGGGGGAAACCCUGAUCUAGCCAUGCCGCGUGAGCGAAGAGAGGCCUUAGGGUUGUAAAGCUCUUCAGCUGGGAAGAUAAUGA
RNAcentral lists this ribosomal RNA (384 nucleotides) under uncultured bacterium. Its description in RNAcentral is "bacterial SSU rRNA". It matches the Rfam family "Bacterial small subunit ribosomal RNA", at positions 42 to 454 of the family's 1533-position model. The record is from RNAcentral.